CCAACCAGCCAUUAGUCUGAGCUUAAUUUGCUUGCUUUGAGCUACCUAUUUUUUGGCUUCCCGGAAGCACGUUUUGCCCGUCGCUGCUUCCUUUGUUAACGAUCAUUUAUUAUAAAUAUGUUGUAUGGAAGAAUCUGUUAAGCUCAGGAGGGAUAGCGCCACUGUUAUUGCCAUGGAAAAUGGCUCUUCUGUAGCGCUAUCCAUCCUGAGUUUCAUAGCUUCUUCUUACUGUUUCUCUUUCUCUCUAGAGACUCUGCACAUGAAGGAUCUUGGUUCUCAUUUGGUUUUACAGUGAAUAGUUUGGAUUCCAUCAGAAUUGAAGGCAAGGUUAGGCUUUAUUUGGCCUUAUCUUUCACUCUUUUUGAACUUUCUCUGAUAUUUUUUCCCACUUUUCAGGUGACUGUAUUUCCACGCUUCCUUUUUUUCGUCCACUAAAUUAUAUCUAUCAUUAUUGACCAACCCCAUUUUUGUGUUUUUUAUACGUUUCAAUUUGGCCUUUGUAAUACAUGACAAACAUGUAGUUAUGACUUGACCUAACCGGAUGAAAUUAACCAUAAAGAGGGUUCAUUAAUUACAGAUUUAGUGCUUAUCUUUUAACCCAUUUUGGCCUCCAGAUCAUUAGUCAAAGGAGGCUUUGAAUUGACAUGCAAUAAGUUGUGAUAGCGUGAAACAUGUGACAAAUUUUGUUUUAUAUUGUUUUAUAAAGAGAUGGCUGAGGAAACAUUUUCAGUUGCAGGAGGCGCAAUUCAAGCAGGAAGUCUCCAAAUCCCACAUAUUUUUUUACUACUUGUAUGUUUUAUUACCAGAAAUUGUAACACUCUUGACUAAAAUGAUGAAUUUGAGG
Molecule: long non-coding RNA, 844 nt
Organism: Mangifera indica (mango)
Lineage: Eukaryota; Viridiplantae; Streptophyta; Magnoliopsida; Sapindales; Anacardiaceae
Exons: 2
Source: RefSeq, a predicted model, not a curated record